This 1106-nucleotide long non-coding RNA is filed under the name Astyanax mexicanus (Mexican tetra). RNAcentral's name for it is "lncRNA (ENSAMXG00005000335.1)". The record is from RNAcentral. Lineage: Eukaryota; Metazoa; Chordata; Actinopteri; Characiformes; Acestrorhamphidae.
UCCAAUUCUAGUCUAAAUUUUACCCACAAUCCUCUCCUCUUAUAAACACUUUAAUAGGAAGUGCUGAUGAAUUAUGCAGAAUUUUGAUGGCGUAUAGAACUGGUAAUAUAAGAUCAUAAAUGCCAUAAAAACAGCACAAGUAAUGAAGGUUGUGUCUGUUUUAAAAUCCUGUUUCACUGCUUUUACAAAUCUCACAAAUCAUUUCAAAGCUUUUGUUAAAUUUCAGAUUGGCGUUAAUGAUGCCGGUUCUGAUUACGACUCUUUUGGAAGGUGUAUGCUCGUGAUGAACGGCGACGGGCAGAGCGACAGACCGCAGGACGCGGCGAGACGCUGCUCGGGUUCUGCAGGAGAAUCGGGACGAGUUUCACACUGAAACAGUUCUUCUCCUGAACCCACAGCCACAAACCAGAGGCCUUUGUUUCGGAGAGGAAACGGGGGGCUGAGAUCCGCCGAGCUCCAGCUGCUGAAUCAAAAGCGUAACUGUGGAGAAACUGUGGAAGUUAUGAGGAGAAAAACAGCAGAAAGUUUGUGUUAGAGGACGAGUCUUGUGUUGGCGGCGGCUCGGUGUCACUGUGUGCCUCCGCACCGCCGGCACACGGCCCCCUCUGUUCCCCGCUGACCCGUUUUGAAUGGACAGCGUUUUCCUUUGUGUUCACCAUCAAAACACCAGCAAAGUUAGUCAGCAAGUUACACAGCUUUUCUCCCGCCGGAUUCCUCAAGCCUCCACUAAACCAACAAUGUUUAUCACCGCGCCGGAGCUGAGCGGCCUGCUGGAGAACACAAUGAAAGCAGCGGACAAAGCGAUUGUGGCAAAGUCCUUUGGAAAAUGGCAAAGCGGCUCUCGGAGGUCCAGGACCAUGGAGAAGCCGGAUGAGCCUUCGGAAGGCAGGGAAGAGGAGAGCUGUUCCAGCAGCACCUGUGAGUCGCCUGAAAAAGAGGAUGCUUUUCUCACUGAAACCCUGAGAAACUCUGAGAAAAGAGCGAGCAGAGAGCAGCCGUCCAUCCCACAGUCUUCACCCCCCCGCCAAAAAACAAAGGUAAAAACAGAGUUUUAUUUCCUGCUGCAGAUCAGAAGCGUUUCUGAUGCAUUUCUCUGUAUAAACAGA